Molecule: ribosomal RNA, 798 nt
Filed under: Lactococcus lactis subsp. lactis
Lineage: Bacteria; Bacillati; Bacillota; Bacilli; Lactobacillales; Streptococcaceae
Description: bacterial SSU rRNA
Rfam family: Bacterial small subunit ribosomal RNA
Source: RNAcentral
GUGCCUAUACUGCAAGUUGAGCGCUGAAGGUUGGUACUUGUACCGACUGGAUGAGCAGCGAACGCCGUUAAUAACGCGUGGGGAAUCUGCCUUUGAGCGGGGGACAACAUUUGGAAACGAAUGCUAAUACCGCAUAACAACUUUAAACACAAGUUUUAAGUUUGAAAGAUGCAAUUGCAUCACUCAAAGAUGAUCCCGCGUUGUAUUAGCUAGUUGGUGAGGUAAAGGCUCACCAAGGCGAUGAUACAUAGCCGACCUGAGAGGGUGAUCGGCCACAUUGGGACUGAGACACGGCCCAAACUCCUACGGGAGGCAGCAGUAGGGAAUCUUCGGCAAUGGACGAAAGUCUGACCGAGCAACGCCGCGUGAGUGAAGAAGGUUUUCGGAUCGUAAAACUCUGUUGGUAGAGAAGAACGUUGGUGAGAGUGGAAAGCUCAUCAAGUGACGGUAACUACCCAGAAAGGGACGGCUAACUACGUGCCAGCAGCCGCGGUAAUACGUAGGUCCCGAGCGUUGUCCGGAUUUAUUGGGCGUAAAGCGAGCGCAGGUGGUUUAUUAAGUCUGGUGUAAAAGGCAGUGGCUCAACCAUUGUAUGCAUUGGAAACUGGUAGACUUGAGUGCAGGAGAGGAGAGUGGAAUUCCAUGUGUAGCGGUGAAAUGCGUAGAUAUAUGGAGGAACACCGGUGGCGAAGGCGGCUCUCUGGCCUGUAACUGACACUGAGGCUCGAAAGCGUGGGGAGCAAACAGGAUUAGAUACGCUGGUAGUCCACGCCGUAAACGAUGAGUGCUAGAUGGAAG